RNAcentral lists this non-coding RNA (100 nucleotides) under unclassified sequences. RNAcentral describes it as "L4-Archaeoglobi ribosomal protein leader". It matches the Rfam family "L4-Archaeoglobi ribosomal protein leades". The record is from RNAcentral.
CUGAUGACCGCGUUCGGGUCACUUGCGGACUGCAACACCCGAUCUCACUCGGCGUGCCGAAAGAAAUGGAGGUCGCCGAGGGGGAGCGCGUCACCGUCAG